This is a long non-coding RNA of Anopheles arabiensis, 1724 nucleotides long. RefSeq lists it as uncharacterized. Lineage: Eukaryota; Metazoa; Arthropoda; Insecta; Diptera; Culicidae. The record is from RefSeq and is a predicted model, not a curated record. The transcript is spliced from 4 exons.
UGCAGACAAUCGAGUGUCUUUUGUGCGCUAAACCUUAUCUCCUUUGCCUUCUUCGCUAUCUUACAGCACCGAUCAACCCCUUUGCUGUGUGUGGUUCCCUCGAGACGUGGCGAUAAAUACCGCCACAGAACCAUGGGCACCCGUCCGCUGCCAGGCGUUUACACAAAAAGCUAAUAAAUGUAAAUCAUAUUCAUCACGACAGUUUCACCCUCAAAAGUGCCUCCCGUUUCGGUAUCGAUGUAUGCCCGGUACCGACACUAACCACCACCCUGCUGUUGUAGCAGUGCCGAUGCAGACAGGCUUAGAUGGGAAGCAGACAAGGAUAAACCGUCCAGCGGUAGCGACCUUUCAUCAGAACCCAACCGCUGGUAGUAAUAGUUGUUCGCCGGUGCCCCACAAACCCGGGACAAAACCCCGAUGGCCGGGGGUGGUCUGGUGGGCACCGUAGGUUUUGAUGUAUGAAGGGCAGCUGCGGUGAAAACAUUCCGCUACGUCCGUAUCACGUAAAUCACCAUCACGCGGGGACUCCAUUAGGGUAUUGUGCAAAAGCUGCUGUCGAUUGUCGUCUGAAAUCCAGGGAAAAAGCUAGUGAAUUAUGGCUACCGGAAGAGUGAACCUGCAAAUAAACCCUGCGAAAUUAGUUCUGGCCCUUCGAGGCUCAAGCUCAAGAGACGGAAACAGCAAAAAAAAAACCCUCAAGCAAACCCGUUCAUCAGACUAUCCUCAAGUGUCCAGUUCACCAUCCAAUCAAUCGUACCGACGCUGUACACACGGCGUACCGCGAGCUAGCAGGCUCAUUGCUGCCACGGCUCCACACAAUGCUCCCGGAAGCUGCUGUAACCAUCGGAAAGAGAAAACAGCGCUUGGUGGUGGAAAAAGCCAUUAUGAAAACCACAAUAAAUUCCCCGAUGUCAUUUCGGAGGAAAAUUCAAAUUACAUUCGCUGCCGGGGCUGCAAGUUGGGCAUGAAAUUCGAAUCGUUUUGCGUUGGCCUCUUCCAUUGGCCUUUCGGUACUGGCCCUUCCCUUCCCCCCGCCCCCCUUGGCCACUUCCGCAGUGAGCAAAAGCCAACCGGGAGAAAAGCCAUCGCACUCGCGCAUAACACUAAUGCCUCGAAGACGUUUUGUCAUUUGCCGAUGUGCUGGUGGUUGGUGUUUUUAUUUUAUUUUUCGCUUUUGUGUGUGCGCUUUAUCUCUAACUUUUCUUCCAAUUUCGGGGAAAAUCGGGAUGCGCUGCGACAACCCCGGAAACAGUCCCGCAUUGAAGUGGGGUUUCGAAGGAAGCCGGAUCGGUGGUGGGCUUCGAACUCAUUAGCAUUGGACAGCAAUGCUUUUUCUUCUCUCUUACCAGUUUCUUCUUCUGAUGCUUCGAAGGCCAUUCGGGACGGGAAGAGGAGACAGGGAAUUAAAAAGCGAGAGAGCGUGAGGCAUUAAAAUUUAUCGCAAAUUUAAAAAGGAAAUGCCAACCGGAAACGACAACCGGGAACAAAAGCGAACCAGUGUGCCCGGGGAAAACCGACGUUUUCCAUCCAUUAUGGAAUGGAUAGCGAGCGAGGAUUGGGGAGGCUUGUUCUGCACGGUGGAGAUGCAAGUGAGUAGAGGAAUAGAGCAACGACGUAAUGUUGAAGUAAACUUUAAGCUAUAAAUUAAAUAAAGAAACUAAUAUUGCACAUUGCAGAUUCAGGGUAAGACGUUUGGGGCAAAGGAUUGAGUGUGGGGAAGUAGG